Molecule: ribosomal RNA, 726 nt
Filed under: Triticum aestivum (bread wheat)
Lineage: Eukaryota; Viridiplantae; Streptophyta; Magnoliopsida; Poales; Poaceae
Description: partial small subunit ribosomal RNA
Source: RNAcentral
AUGGCGCUCCCUACGCUAAGGGCCCGUCUCGGCCUGGGCUGCACCGCCAGGGUCGCAAAGGUCGUCGGCAGCAGCGGCACCUUCGGCAAGGCCUUGCCGACGGCCGCCCGUAGCGGCAGCGGCAAGACCCGGUGCUUCUCUUCCACCGCCGAGACGUCUUCCGAAUUCAGUAGCAUCCGUCUUCAACACGCUCUCACUGCGGUACGUGCUUUCGGUGUUGUUGUUGCCGCUUGGUGCCUCGUUCUUAUGGACGAUAGAGUCGACAAGAUAGGGAAGAAAGUCAGCAAAAUAGAGUGCAAAGUUGAUAAGUUAUCGAGGAUGGAAGACAAAGUCGACCAAAUAGUGAGGAUACAAAACAAAGUCGAUGAAAAAGUGGUGGCCAUGGAGGAUGAAGUUCAUAACAUAUGGAAGAAAGUCCACCAGAUGGAGGGCAAGGUGGAUAAAAUCGUGAGGAUGGAGAUUGCUAAAGUGGUGACUCAGAUGGAUGACAAACUCAUAGCCAACACAGUCGCCCAGAUGGAAGGCAAGGUCCAUUCAAUUGUGAGCAUUGAGUAUAAAGUCGAUGAAAUGAGGAAGAAAGUCGAGCACAUGGAGGCCAAGGUUGUCGAUAAAAUUGUCGCGAUGGAGGAUAAAGUCGAUCAAAUCAGAAAGAAAGUCGGCGGGGUGGAGGAAAAUGUCGACCAAGUAAAAAAUAAGUGUGAUAAAAUUUAUAUGCAUGUACUUUGA